UGAGGAAUAUUGGUCAAUGGGCGAGAGCGUGAACCAGCCAAGUCGCGUGCAGGAUGACUGUCUUAUGGAUUGUAAACUUCUUUUAUACGGGAAUAACAAGAGUCACGUGUGGCUCCCUGCAUGUACCGUAUGAAUAAGCAUCGGGCAAUUCCGUGCCAGCAGCCGCGGUAAUACGGACGAUGCGAGCGUUAUCCGGAUUUAUUGGGUUUAAAGGGUGCGUAGGCGGCCUGUUAAGUCAGCGGUGAAAUCUAGGAGCUUAACUCCUAAAUUGCCAUUGAUACUGGCGGCCUUUUACAAAGAUGAGGUAGGCGGAAUGCGUGGUGUAGCGGUGGAAUGCAUAGAUAUUACGCAGAACUCCGAUUGCGAAGGCAGCUUACUAAGGUACAACUGACGCUGAAGCACGAAAGCGUGGGUAUCAAACAGGAUUAGAUACCCUGGUAGUCCACGCAGUAAACGAUGAUAACUGGGCGUAUGCNAUAUACAGUAUGCUCCUAAGCGAAAGCGUUAAGUUAUCCACCUGGGGAGUACGCCGGCAACGGUG
Molecule: ribosomal RNA, 541 nt
Filed under: uncultured bacterium
Lineage: Bacteria
Description: bacterial SSU rRNA
Rfam family: Bacterial small subunit ribosomal RNA
Source: RNAcentral